CCGUCAAUUCAUUUAAGUUUCAGCCUUGCGGCCGUACUUCCCAGGUGGCUCGCUCCACGGCUUCCCUACGGCACCGACAACGGUCGCACCGUGGCCGACACCUAGCGAGUAUCGUUUACGGCUAGGACUACCCGGGUACCUAAUCCGGUUCGUGCCCCUAGCUUUCGUCCCUUGCCGUCAGGUCCGUUCUGGUGAGACGCCUUCGCCACUGGUGGUCCUUCAAGGAUUACAAGAUUUCACCCCUACCCCUGAAGUACCUCUCACCUCUCCCGGCCUCGAGCCGAACAGUAUCUCCUGAAAGCCCAACAGUUGAGCUGCUGGAUUUCUCAAGAGACUUAUCCGGCCGGCUACAGACCCUUUAGACCCAAUAAUAACGGUUACCACUCGAGCCGCCGGUGUUACCGCGGCGGCUGGCACCGGUCUUGCCCGGCCCUUGCUAUGAAAUGCUUUUUAGGCAUCUCGACAGCCAGAUUUGUAACCUGGCACUCGAGGUUCCCUUAUCGCUGUUGCCAGC
Molecule: ribosomal RNA, 514 nt
Filed under: uncultured bacterium
Lineage: Bacteria
Description: partial 16S ribosomal RNA
Source: RNAcentral